GAAGGGAGCAAGUGGGACUGGCAGCGGCAGCCUAAGAGGCAGAAGGGACGAAAGGGGCGAGACCUGCGAGAGUUCCCCAUGGAAGGAAUUCCAUUUUAUGCCUGCAGACCUUGGGAAGCUGGUAUUUCUCAGGGUGGAACUGCGGGGCGCCCUCCUCCCCAAAGCAGGGAGGACAGGAAGCACCAGACACAGGAGGUACCGCGGGCCCAUUUCCCGCUCGCCACCGGAGUUCAGUUCCACAGAAUUCGAACCCAACUUCCAAGAACCCACCACUGGCCCCUCUGUGUGAAGAAAGGAGCACACAGACUUCCUUUGAGAACUCCGACUGCUGCUUUCUCUUCAGUGUCUACUAUCUACUUCCAGACUGCUUUCCAGGCUCUUCCACUAGGUCUUGCUCUGACCUGAAGAGUGACUAAAGGAAGCUUUGCCUAGUAGAGGGAAAUGCCCUGAAGAGUAAUGGGCAUCAGCUCUCAACUUAAGAACCUCUACCAAGACUUCCCACUUACAAAAUACUUGAACUUUUGCAUAAGCUUAUUGUACAUGGUUGUAAAUCCAGUGAGGUCAAGUGAACAGUGAUUUUUAUUAAUGCACUUUAUGUAAAAGGAAAGCAAGAAAGGCAAAUUGGUUUCUUGAGGUUAGUCAGUUAAUCUGUUGCAGAGCUGAAACUGAAAAGCAAGCCUACCUAUGCUUUCCAUGAUACUCACAUCCUAAGAGAGUUGACAAAAACAAAGAACAAAAGGUGAAAGAAUGAGCCCUAGAGACAAAAAAAAUGUGAUGGCUUCCCUCUGACACUUCUCCCAACCUAUACUCCUUCCAGUUUUGCUGCCUUAUCUUCUUGUGGUUUCUAUGACUUUGGUUUCCAUUCAGGAGCAUUUUGGAUAAUUCACAUUUCUCUCUUGUACCCUGGAGGCACUGGGGAUGGAAAUCAGAGAUGUGGGGAAAAGAAAUCGUGGCAUCUCCAGAGACAUGCUUAGAAGAGGGGAGAUUCUUCCACACUCCCCGUAAGAGGAAGUGAGAAUCACAGAGGUGAAAGCCAGAGAUGCCUGGGGAGGCAAAUAUUUUGAAUCCUAAAUUUAUUAUGUCUUUCUUGAUUUUUAGGUUUGGACAGAUUGCUGCAUCUGUCUGCCUCGGUAUUGUUGUUUGUAAUUGUAGAAUGAGAAUGUAAGACUGCUAAAGGAAUACUAGAUCCUUUACUCUUAAAAAUCCUCAGCUAACAAGUAAAUGUGCUGGAAGGAAUUGGAUUUCUCAAAUCACUUUGAGAUUUGGCCAAUCAUUCAUUUUAUAUACUCACAACAUUUAAUUAACCAGUUAUAUUAAUCAUUGUAAGCCCUAGAAAAACAUUUACUGUAGUUAAUUGAUCCAAUU
This is a long non-coding RNA of Cebus imitator (Panamanian white-faced capuchin), 1365 nucleotides long. RefSeq lists it as uncharacterized. The record is from RefSeq and is a predicted model, not a curated record. NCBI's taxonomy places the organism in Eukaryota, Metazoa, Chordata, Mammalia, Primates, Cebidae. The transcript is spliced from 3 exons.